This is a small nucleolar RNA of Ochotona princeps (American pika), 89 nucleotides long. Its record names the gene SNORA74. It matches the Rfam family "Small nucleolar RNA SNORA74". Rfam says of the family: U19 belongs to the H/ACA class of snoRNAs. snoRNAs bind a number of proteins (including dyskerin, Gar1p and Nop10p in the case of the H/ACA class) to form snoRNP complexes. This class are thought to guide the sites of modification of uridines to pseudouridines by forming direct base pairing interactions with substrate RNAs. Targets may include ribosomal and spliceosomal RNAs but the exact functions of many snoRNAs, including U19, are not confirmed. The record is from Ensembl. Lineage: Eukaryota; Metazoa; Chordata; Mammalia; Lagomorpha; Ochotonidae.
CCUAGCUGUAGGCAACUGCCUAGGGUGCCUUGUGCCUAGGCCAAGUGUUACACUGCUGGAAGAAAAGCAGCCAGUAACUGAUGAGCAUU